AUGGUGAUAACGGGUAACGGGGAAUCAGGGUUCGAUUCCGGAGAGGGAGCCUGAGAAACGGCUACCACUUCUAAGGAAGGCAGCAGGCACGCAAAUUACCCAAUCCCGGCACGGGGAGGUAGUGACGAAAAAUACGGAUACGGGACUCAACAGAGGCUCCGUAAUUCGAAUGAGUACACCUUAAAUCCUUUAACGAGGAUCAACUGGAGGGCAAGUCUGGUGCCAGCAGCCGCGGUAACUCCAGCUCCAGAAGCGUAUAUUAAAGUUGUUGCAGUUAAAAAGCUCGUAGUUGGAUCUGGGUCGCAUGGCUACAUGCCGUUGCUUGUAUUCUUGGCCUGGUCAAGACUGGGUCGAGUUUGCGAGUCGGUGUCGUGGUUGUGCAGCCUUUCUGCUGUGUCUGUUUCGACAGGUGCUGACUGAAUCGGUGAGCUCGUCUCGCUGGUUUGUUGGCAUGCUUCCGGAUGCCUUUAACCGGGUGUCGGGGGCGGACGGCACGUUUACUUUGAACAAAUUUGAGUGCUCAAAGCAGGCCUGUGUGCCUGAAAAUUCUUGCAUGGAAUAAUGGAAUAGGACUUCGGUUCUAUUUUGUUGGUUUUCGGAUCCGAAGUAAUGGUUAAGAGGGACAGACGGGGGCAUUUGUAUGGCGGUGUUAGAGGUGAAAUUCUUGGAUCGCCGCCAGACAAACUACAGCGAAAGCAUUUGCCAAGGAUGUUUUCAUUGAUCUGGAGCGAAAGUCAGAGGUUCGAAGACGAUCAGAUACCGUCCUAGUUCUGACCAUAAACGAUGCCAACUGACGAUCCGUGGUGGUUCUGCAAUUGACCCCGCGGGCAGUCCCCGGGAAACCUUUAAGUCUUUGGGCUCCGGGGGAAGUAUGGUUGCAAAGCUGAAACUUAAAGGAAUUGACGGAAGGGCACCACCAGGAGUGGAGCCUGCGGCUUAAUUCGACUCAACACGGGAAAACUCACCCGGCCCGGACACUGUGAGGAUUGACAGAUUGAUAGCUCUUUCUUGAUUCGGUGGUUGGUGGUGCAUGGCCGUUCUUAGUUGGUGGAGCGAUUUGUCUGGUUAAUUCCGAUAACGAACGAGACUUUGGCCUGCUAAAUAGUAUGCCUGUCCCCUGUGCUCGUGCGGGCAGCGGUGCUCACUGCUCUCGGGUGGUGGUGCCGUCUGCCGGCGGGUACUGCGCAGGUGUCUACUUCUUAGAGGGACAAGCGGCGUGACAGUCGCACGAAAAUGAGCAAUAACAGGUCUGUGAUGCCCUUAGAUGUCCGGGGCCGCACGUGCGCUACAAUGACGGUUUCAGCGAGUUUGGAAUCCUGGCCCGAAAGGGUUGGGCAAACUGUAUCAUCACCGUCGUGACUGGGAUCGGGGUUUGCAAUUAUCCCCCGUGAACC
Molecule: ribosomal RNA, 1394 nt
Filed under: Stephanostomum sp. 2 AN-2018
Lineage: Eukaryota; Metazoa; Platyhelminthes; Trematoda; Opisthorchiida; Acanthocolpidae
Description: SSU rRNA
Rfam family: Eukaryotic small subunit ribosomal RNA
Source: RNAcentral